GGAGCGUGCCUAAUGUGACUGCUUGCUGGGGUGGGGUGGGUGGGUGUGGGGAGGGGGUCGGCAGCGUUGAGCCUCCUGCCCUCGUACUGUCUACCCCGCCGUGGCCCAAGGCUCCCCCUGCAAACUUGAAAGGACCAAAGGAAUCCCCCCCUAAACCCCCCGACGCCGCCCCCCACAUGUUUUCAGAAGGCAUGACAUCAUCCUUUGCACAAAGGGGGCUGGAGCUGGGGUUAAUAUGGAUGUAUGAGUGAAUGCGUGUGUGUGUGUGUGUGUGAAGGAUACAAACCCAUCAGUCACAGUAUUCAGCUGAAACACAAGAUUUGGCUUUUCUCUUUUUUUGUCCUGUUAGUUACUUUUUUUUGUUUUGUUUUUUUGUUUUUUAACAUUUUUUGACUCUAAAUCAUACUUUGAAUUGUUUGGUGUGUCUAAACGUUCCCGUCCUUUAUUCUCAGGUACUGGAAUCAUUUAAGUCUUGACUCCUCUCAGUCUGCACUGCUGGUCUUUCUUCUCUCUCCUUUCCUUUUUCCUAAAGACAUUUCUACAUCAAUUUUAACCCCAUAUAAUCACUUUCUUGUUGUUUUUCACACAGCGAGUCCACAAACUGAACACUAUUAACUCUCCACUGCCGUGACCUCCUCUCAUCCUGGUCUGCCUCUUGAAUUCUCCGUCAUCACUUUUGGCUCUCUUUACAGCUUUCACUGUGGACUGCAGAGCCAAGCUGUUGUUUUUCUCCUGCGUCUGAAUACGGCGUGGGUGAAGGAAGUUUGGAGCACUUUCAAACAAAUCAGUGCGGUUCACGAAUGUGCAGACGAUGACAAAUGGCUGACAUGGAAGCAUCAGAGGCUGCAGUUUGACUCAAUAAGGAUGCUGAAUGAACUGUUUGCCCUUUAGGCUUCAGUGGGAGAAGUAGCAUGUCAUGAAACAAUCACUUUCUGUUUUAUGUUACCGCAAAUAAAAUCCCGUUAAAAACCAAGGCUUGAGCCUGAUAGUAAUUUCCAUGUGCUAUAGUAGUUGGUGACCUGAUGCCCCAAACUAAUUAAAACACUCUUUGUCAUUUAUGAGAAAUUCACCUGGAAUUUAAACAUAAACAGAAGAUUUAUUUAGUCAGAUUUAUCUAACCUUUUUGGAGACUAAGUGAUCAUACUGAAUACCAAGCUGGGGUCGGAUAUGGUAAGCUGUUUUAACAUUUAAUGGACCAACUUUGAUUUGAGAUAAUUGAAGUAUAAUUUAAAUCAUAUCCACCUGUGGGCAUGAGAUAAAAAUACUAUCUUUUGUGAGAUUUCAAGGGCUCUAUACAUUUAAGAUCUAUGUUUGUACAAUAGGGAAGUUUUGUCUUUUUACACUCUUUCUCUGCCAGUCAAGGAUUUGUUUACUACCCCACUUUAAAGCAAAGCAUCCAUGCGAUUCAACUUCCGGCUAUAAGCCUGGAGUGCCAAUCCUGGAGCAUGUGCAGAACACACAGGCCAGUUUCAGCCUGAUAGAGCUGUAUAGGAGAAAAUCAAUCCCCAACCACAUCACCCAGGUAUAUUUGUCCAACUAUAUGAAAUUUGAUAAAAGUGUGAUUUUAGUCAGUCACUAUUAAUGUGUUCGCAUGGGGUGACCAUAUGUCUUCUUUUACCCAGUCAUGUCCUCUUUUUUGGGGGCUGUCUGGCCUUGUCUGGCUUUGUCCGGUGAAGUUUAUAAAAUCCUUCAAAUGUCCACAGUUUUGUACGGAAGAUUCGAGUUUGUGUCACAUGGACUUACUGAGUUAGAGGUGCGUAAAAGACACUCGAUCCGACCCAAAAAACUCUCAACUUCGUGCGACUCCAUGGCUCCGCCCCUGUGUAGUCGCGUCCUCUUUUUGGGAAUUCAGAAUAUGGUCACCCUAGUUCACGUGAAAAUUAAAAGUCCAGUUUCAGUCUAAGGCAAUUCAUAUCUAUUUUGAACAACGUGUUAACACACCGAUUGUUGAUAAUCAGAAUUUUAACCUGUAAGAAUGUAAUUCUAACUGUGUGAAAUGCUCUCAUUAGUGUCUCAAAUAUCAUAUCAAAGGUAGUGUACUGCAAAGAGCCACACCAUACAGAGACUAAGAGCAAUUUUUUUUUUCACUGUGUUACUGCAAAGAGCCACACCAUACACAUGGGCACACAUGAACAUCACCCCAUCCCUUCCUCACACACACACACACACACACACACACACACACACACACACACACACACACACACACACACACAGACCUCUGCUCAGCCAGAUUUAUUGUAAAUGUCACACACCAACAUGAUAAUGACAGAAAUUGACUCCUACAGUACUAAGACCACAGGCCAGUUAUUUUCAACAAUUAACAUUGUGUGCACUGUCUCUCACACAUAAACUCUCAGUUCAACCAAGUCCACAAACAAAAAUAUGAUAAUUUACAAUAGCGUUUUUCUCUUACUAUGCAUGUUGCUUAGUGGGGGGCUUUCAGACAGUCUGUAGUCGCAUUAAAUGGGUCGACAAGGAACGUAAUCUGUGGCCUUUUCAGUUGUAGAUCACGGAACCGGGUCACAAAGCUUUCGUGCAGGUUUUCAACCAGUGUUGCAUAUCUGUCUCUUUUCUUAUUCAGGGCGGCGCUGGUGACUUGCCUGCUGGCUUUUAGCAGAGUGUGAAAAUGCGUUAAAUCUCCCUUUUGAGUAUGCGCCUUGAACAGCUUCAGUUUGUUGACUAACGCAAACACACUUUGCACCAGAUCAGGCAGCAUUUUUAACUUACCCUGCAGGGUCAGGUUCAGUCUGUCCAAGUGACACAGCAUGUUGACCAAAAAGACCAGAUCCAUAAUCCACUCGAGGUCUGAGAGCUCUGGAUAGUCCUUGUCCUUCUCUUCCAUGAACAGUUUCACGGCAUCCAAAAGCUCAAAGAAGCGAGAGAGUACCUUGCCUUUUGACAGCCACCUCACAGUGCAGUGCAGCGGCAGGUCACCUGGAAGCCCUUGGUCCAGGUCAGCGAUAAGAUUCCUGAAUUGCCUGUGGUUAAGCACAUGUGUGUGGAUGUAGUUGACGAUUUCCAUCACAGGCUUCAUGACGUUGUUUAAAUUCAAUGAUUUAGACAUGAGUUGCUCCGUGUGGAGGAUGCAGUGGAAAUUCAGAAAACUCUGGAAAUGUUUGGUCAGCUUUGCACAGCCCCACAAGCCUGUUCACUGAUCUGAUCAUGGCUGGCGCUCCAUCCAUGGCUACUGCAGUUAGUUUCGGUAUGGGCAGAUUUGUUUCCGCAAAUGUAGCCAUCAUUGUUUCUUUAACAUCUAUGCCACAGGUUCUGUCUUUUAAUGGCACAAUAUCAAGGAGUUCUUCUUUGAUCACACAAUCGUUUGACACAGACCGUGCAAAUAUUGCCAACUGAGGCUUGUCUUGUAUGUCACAACUCUCAUCCAAUGCGACACUAAAAUACUCACAUGCUUGAGGGUCGGAGUGCAACUGUGAUUCAUUAGCCGUGUUAAUAUCCGAUAUUCUGUGUUCAACAGUGUGGCGGGACAGUUGGACAUCUGAUACCUAUCUGAUACUCAUUUUAGUUUGUCGUCUUCAGGAGACAAGAUUUCAACAGCGUCACUGAGGCGAUUUUUAACGAAGUCCCCUUCAUUGUAUGGCUUUUUAGCCUGUGCAAUGUUCCAAGCCAGUUGAUAUGAUGCAAGCGCUACGGUCUCUGAGUGCUUCGUAAAUUUUUGGUGAAACUGUAUCUGCUUUUCUGCCUGACUUUUCAAAGUGACCAACUUGUGCUUGCGAAGUUCAGUCCCUUUUGGAAAUUCCUGGUCGAUGUUAGCAUGGAGUGAGCCGAAGUGGCGCUGAAGAUUUGAAGCUUUGAAAUUACGCCUGACAUAUAAGGCAGAAUGGCUUGCCAUUACGUUCAACAAAAAAAUAUAAACUCUCCCACUCUCUUAAAAACGUCCUGUGUUCAUCUUCAUAUUUUCGUUUUGCUGUGCUUUUUUUCCUUGCCAUUUUGAGAGCGAACUUGACACAAAUUGUUUACUACUCAAAUGAUCUCACGCACAUGCGCGUUCAUGUGAAAGCCCCUUAAGAGCCGCAUGAAACCAGCCAAAGAGCCGCAUGAGGCUCGGGUUGGCCAGGCCUCCCCUAAAUGUUAAAACAGCUCACUGUAACCAGAUGGCAUUUUAAGAAAUAAGACAUUCUCCUGUCAGUGUCUUUUAAGAAGGUGAGGACACAGACCUUUAUAACAGCAGGGGGGUUGUGGUGGGGUUAGACAGAGUCAAUGCCACCAGCAUGGCUAAUGUCAUGGCCACUGAGUUGUAACUGUCGCUCCUGUGAGCAAGCAUUAAAACACACACACACAUAUGAGAGUGAAGAAACAGUCAGGUUUUACAUUUCACAGGCAUAUUCACACAUCUCGUGUGCACGUGCGAACCCCACAUACAUUUCUUGAUUGCUUUUAUCUCUCUCCGUCUCAUUCUGCUCUUACAAGUGUUGCAUGGAGGUGAGGCCUCAGCGCCCUUGCCUGUUUAAUGGGCCGUUCCGUUUGCCAACUGUUCCUUUGAGGGGGCCGAUGUGUCGGGCGUCGGAGCCGGGAUUUGAGGAGGGAGGGUCGGUGCCGUUGGAUCAGACAGAUGGAGGGGGGUCCGGCUCCAUUCAUUUAGGCUCUGUGAGAACAACAGAGCCCCACUUCAAACAACAAGGACGCAACCUGCUGGCCCAAUCGUCUGCAAACGCACACAUAUGUAGACGCGCACACACAUGCUGUAACACAUGCAUGCUUCAAACACACACGUGCGCUUUUAUUAGGGCAUUCUCAGCUUUUUAUCGAUUUAACAUGUCUGAAAUCAAAAUCUACUUGGAGGACAUAAACUCAAGGAUAAAGUUAUCACUGCUGCUGUUCACACUGCAUCUGCAGCUCAUCUCCCACCCUCACAUCUACACAAACCACAUGCGUAUGUACAGGGGGGCACAAAAACAUAGGCUUCCCAGUGCCCACCCCCAUUCCCAGCCCUGCUUUUCCCUGGGACUCUCUCCUCUGCUACCACCCCCCUCCUGAAUUCACUGGCACUUCCAGAAAGCUCCGAGGCGCCAGCGGAGCGGGGCUCAUCUCUUGGGAACAAUAAAGCCAGAUCUUCAUAAAAACUUCAAAAAGGCCUCGCCAAGUGUUUUAUAGGUGCUUUAAAGGUUUAUGGGCCCAGGGGAGGGAAAGAGAGAGAGAGAGAAAUGAGUGAUGCAGUUGUGGCAGGCUUCACUUUUCCCACCCACUGCACACAAACACACACAUAUACACAUACAGAUAUGCACACACGCAAGCGUGAGCGUACAUAUACGCUGCUGCUAAUCCCCCAGUAAGUGCCAGGCUGAGAUCAGGCUGGUGGGAGGCAGGGUGGGGCAGGGGUAGGUGGUGAUUGCUGUGAGGCGGUGGUGUAAGGAAAGCAACAGGUGAUCAGUCAGUGCAGGAAUGAAAUAAAAGAGAGGAAAGAGGAGUGUCACUGUGGACCGUGGAGUCAGUAGAUAGUUGUAAAAGCAACUCAUGUUUCACUAGCGAGGUCACACCACAACACUGUCAUUCAAAUGUUUCACAGAGGUUCAGGAUGUGUUGCUGUUGAAGAUGGACAAGUGGAUGCGAAGGAGAUGAGUAGAGGAAGACAAGAAGUGGGGUUACACUGAGAAAAGAGUCUACCAAAUAGAUAUUGACCCAGAUUGAAUGGACUUAAUCAUAACUUGGGGUUACUUUGGGUCAAUCUUGAUUGAAUUUGAAAUACAUGAACAAGCUCUCGAAGCAUUUUCAACCUUUGCAGAUAAAAAAACGUAGCAUUUUUCAGUCAAACUUCACUAGAAUUUCAACAAAAAUUUCUUAAAUGUUGAAUGAAUUCUCCUACAGAGAUUUUAUUUGGAGUUUUUGCCUCCCAAAAGGUGUUUUUGCCUUGCCACUGUUGCUGAGUUUUUGCUCAUUGGUGGAUUAAUGUUUGGUCCUCUUACAUGAUAAAAGGAAGAGUAUAGUAAUAAAUUUGUUUUUUAUUGAAAGCCAAUCUGCCGAAGCAGGCGGAUGUUCACCAACAAAUCUGUUUCUUGAUGGUUUGAACAGAUUUUAUUUUAUUAAUAGAACUGAGAUGUAUUUGUACAGGAUUUGGUGCUUUAGAAAUAAAAACUGAUGAACUGAUUGAUCGAAUGAUUGAUGGACUUAGAGUGUAUGUUUCUGAUGCCUUAGACUGCGUGUUAUGUAGGUCUGUUUUUCAAAACCGGGACAAGCUGUGGACCAAACUUGAUGCUCAAUUCCUAAACCACUUCAGGAUGGUUUGAAGUUGAAGAGCACAGAGGUGGGACUUUCUGAGAUGGAGGCAACUGAGGCCUUGAGAUUGUUGUUGGUUGCUGUUUUGCAGGCGGAUAUGUUUUGGCACGCAUCAACCGGAUUAUAAGAUCAUGUGCCGUUUGGACUCUUCCAGUUCCAGUACAGGAGCUUAACAGCCUGUGAAUCUCACUUCCCUGCCAGGGGAGAUGCUGACGAAAUCACCUAUCAGAUGAAUCUCUCUGAUAAUGCCGCUUUAGUUUUGUCGCUGCAGAUAUUUUGAUGAGUCACAAGUCGCAGGGUCAAAGCAGAGCACGCUCCACUUUGUAUCUUUUAUGAGCAUGAAUAGUCACUAUUCAGGUUUUUUUUUUUUUUUUUUUGAAUGUUUUCUUUAUAGGUAUUCACAGAGAUGCCAGAGUUAUAUUUAGCUCGGGUCCUCCUGGAGUCAGAAGGUUUAAAAUUAGGAGGUGUCAGAAUUCCAGUUCAAUUCUUAAGUUACUGUCAAUAAACGGUAAAGGGCUGCUCUUAAAGGCGUAGUGUGUCGGCAUGAGUGCAUUAUGCCAUGAUUUGUGCGUGAUAAGCUGCCCCAGGAAGUGUGUGUGAAUUUGUCCUGAUAUAUUACAAAAGUGUAAAUCCUCUGCAUGUCACACAUGUGCUUUUACACAUCUAGAUAUCAGGAUUCCACGGCACACACAGCUCAUGUGCACCAAUGCGUGUUUACGCCUGUGUUUGUGUGUCCUUCUGCGCAUUAGUGUUUGUAGGAUCUGUUGACAGUGAAGCAUGCAGCAUUUUAUUUGCUCAAGGGCUGAAAAAACACAUGGCGCUAGUGAGGGAGCGCUGUGAUAUGAGCCUGCUGAAAGGAAGCUGGCCGGCCAGAACUCAGCCCUGGAUCAAGAUUCAACAAAAACAUUUUAACACACUGAACAUGUAACAUAAAGCGACUCAAGUUUUUGUUGAUGCAUUACUUUGAGUGUACUACUGGGCUUCUAACAGUCAACAAUAAAUAUGCAUGUGAAACAGAAAAGUGUGUCAAGUAUCUUUGACAUGAACCUUUGAAAUGAAAUUGUAAGUUUGACUAACAUUUACUUGUAAGACAAAUCUGCAAGCUUUAAACUUCACAACAAAUCAAUCAGUCUUUACCUGUAUGGCCCCAAUUCACAGUUUAAAGGGAUUUUUCGAGUCAAACACACCGUAACACCGAGUUAGACACCCCCUCCAGAGAUGAAUGCUGCCGACUGCUUGCUUCUUAUUAUACAAACUUUUGUAACGAUUGCAUGAUAGCAAUAUGGCUUUUUGGUUGAGGUUUGUGCUUGGCUCCUUAGACUGCUGUGUAUUGCUAUCGUGUGGUCAUUACUAAAGUUGGUUGUAUACACUACAGGCCAAAAGUUUGGAAGCAAGGCCAUUACCGGCAGUUGGGAGUAACUUCAGGUUUUUGUUCACAAUGCUUUUUUUAAAUCCAGCAUGAGUUUUAUGUAUUUUGGGAUGUAUUUACUCCAUGAUCAGAUGUUGCUUUCAUGGAAAUGCACCAUUUUAAUCCAUUUACCUUUAGAUAUACAUUGAUGUUAACAGACCAUUGCUAAAUAUAUGUCAGCAAAAGAAAAUAAGGGCUUAGUUGCAGGGUUGAAAACAUUU
Molecule: long non-coding RNA, 7860 nt
Filed under: Xyrichtys novacula (pearly razorfish)
Lineage: Eukaryota; Metazoa; Chordata; Actinopteri; Labriformes; Labridae
Source: RNAcentral